This 978-nucleotide long non-coding RNA is filed under the name Mytilus galloprovincialis (Mediterranean mussel). Lineage: Eukaryota; Metazoa; Mollusca; Bivalvia; Mytilida; Mytilidae. The record is from RNAcentral.
UAAAACGUUUAGCUGACCUUUACGAGUUAUCUCCCUGUAGUGUUAGGUACCACCUUAAGUAUGAGUAGACCAUAGAAAAAUGGUCAAAGAGGUUAACGUUAUUCAGAAGUUGCAUACAAAUAAAUGAUGUUACAAAACUUAUUGUCACAACUCAGCUAUUGUACCUUUUUUUUAUUUUUAGUUUAUUAAUGUGAAAUGAUCUUACUACAUUUAUAGCAGCAAUAGUCUGACCACAAUUAUUCUUUUUGAAUUUUGUUUUUUUACAAUGAAAGUGUGAUAGAUUGUAAGUAAUAAUUUUGUUUGAAUACUCUAUAUUCCACUGUUUUGUUAAGCACACAUGUGAUAGACCACUUGUUAAUUUACACAAUUCAAAAGCUGGUUAUAAAUGUUUGGUAUGAAAAUUUGAAAUAAAGAGUUGUUUAAUGAAUAUCAAAAUUUAACCUGCCUACAUGGUAUAAAGAUAUAUAUCUGUAUGUCAUCGCACAAUUUUGUUUCAUUCAUAUUCUGUGAACCAAUGAGGGUGUUUUUUUGCUACCUUGACUACCGGUACCCAUGAGGUUUUGUGAAAGAAAUUGUUAGUUGAGCUUAAUUUGCAAAUUUUGUGUCAGAAUAUGAACCAGUAUGCAUCUGGAUCCCUGUUGGGACGGUUUACUAAGGAAUUUAAACCUUUUCAAAUAUUUGUACUGAAAACAGAUGCAAGUCCAUCAAAAGAGCAAAGCAUAAACAGUGCUACAAAAAUGUUAACCUGGAGGAGAAAUAAUGGCUCUGAAUACAUUUAAACUGGCUUUUGAAAUGCGCAAUGUUUUAUCAUGUUAAUUUGAUCGCUGUGUGUAGACAUUAAGGAUUUGUUUUACAUUAAAAUGUUUGAUUAUAUCAUGUGUGUUUUUUAUAACUUGUGUAAAAAUGUUAUGAAAAUAGCAAUGUAAAGUAUAAUAAUGUAUCUCAAGAUAAGAGCCAGUGCCUUGGGUUGAUUGAUUG